CUGCUUACUUUGACGGCACGUUUAAGAAAAUUGGAACAACGCAGAGAAGAUUGCAAUGGCCCUUGUGCAACGAAAACACACGAAUGCAUGAGGCAACCCAUAUUUCU
Molecule: small nuclear RNA, 107 nt
Organism: Sciurus vulgaris (Eurasian red squirrel)
Lineage: Eukaryota; Metazoa; Chordata; Mammalia; Rodentia; Sciuridae
Source: Ensembl